UACAGAGGUCUCAAGCGUUGUUCGGAUUCAUUGGGCGUAAAGGGUGCGUAGGCGGCGAGGUAAGUCUGGUGUGAAAUCCUGGGGCUCAACCCCAGAAUUGCACUGGAUACUGCUUUGCUAGAGGACUGGAGAGGAGAUUGGAAUUCACGGUGUAGCAGUGAAAUGCGUAGAGAUCAUGAGGAAGACCAGUGGCGAAGGCGGGUCUCUGGACAGUUCCUGACACUGAGACACGAAGGCCAGGGGAGCAAACGGG
This 253-nucleotide ribosomal RNA is filed under the name uncultured bacterium. Its description in RNAcentral is "partial 16S ribosomal RNA". It matches the Rfam family "Bacterial small subunit ribosomal RNA", at positions 524 to 776 of the family's 1533-position model. The record is from RNAcentral.